RNAcentral lists this ribosomal RNA (1264 nucleotides) under metagenome. Its description in RNAcentral is "bacterial LSU rRNA". It matches the Rfam family "Bacterial large subunit ribosomal RNA", at positions 1644 to 2925 of the family's 2925-position model. The record is from RNAcentral.
GUACCAUAACCGACACAGGUGGGUAGGUAGAGUAUACUAAGGGGCGCGAGAUAACUCUCUCUAAGGAACUCGGCAAAAUGACUCCGUAACUUCGGGAGAAGGAGUGCCUUAUUUAUAAGGUUGCAAUAACAAGAUCCAAGCAACUGUUUACCAAAAACACAGGUCUCCGCUAAGUCGUAAGACGAUGUAUGGGGGCUGACGCCUGCCCAGUGCCAGAAGGUUAAAGAAGUUGGUUAGCCUAGCGAAGCUGAUGACUGAAGCCCUGGUGAACGGCGGCCGUAACGAUAACGGUCCUAAGGUAGCGAAAUUCCUUGUCGGGUAAGUUCCGACCCGCACGAAAGGCGUAAUGAUUUGGAUACUGUCUCGGAGAGGGGCUCGGUGAAAUAGACUUGUCUGUGAAGAUGCGGACUACCUGCACCUGGACAGAAAGACCCUAUGAAGCUUUACUGUAACUUGAGAUUGAAAUUGGACUUUAUUUGCGCAGUAUAGGUGGGAGACGUUGAGAAUAUUCUUGCGGGAAUAUUGGAGUCAUCAGUGAGAUACCACUCUUGUAAUGUUAGAUUUCUAACUUUGUAUCAUUAUCUGGUCAAAGGACAGUUUCAGGCGGGCAGUUUGACUGGGGCGGUCGCCUCCCAAACGGUAACGGAGGCGCACAAAGGUUUCCUCUGAACGUGUAGAAAUCGUAUCUAGAGUGUAAAGGCAUAAGGAAGCUUGACUGUGAGACCUACAAGUCGAGCAGGGACGAAAGUCGGUCUUAGUGAUCUGACGGUGCUGAGUGGAAAGGCCGUCACUCAACGGAUAAAAGUUACUCUAAGGAUAACAGGCUGAUCUCCCCCAAGAGUUCACAUCGACGGGGAGGUUUGGCACCUCGAUGUCGGCUCAUCGCAUCCUGGGGCGGUAGUACGUCCCAAGGGUUGGGCUGUUCGCCCAUGAAAGCGGUACGCGAGCUGGGUUCAGAACGUCGUGAGACAGUUCGGUCCAUAUCCGGUGUAGGCGUUAGAAUAUUGAGAGGAGCCUUCUUUAGUACGAGAGGACCGAGAAGGACAUACCUCUGGUGUACCAGUUAUCGUGCCAACGGUAAACGCUGGGUAGCUAUGUAUGGAGUGGAUAACCGCUGAAAGCAUCUAAGUGGGAAGCCCACCUCAAGAUAAGUAUUCUCAUCACGUAAGUGAGUAAGGUCACGGUAAGACUAACCGUUUAAUAGGCAUCAAGUGUAAAUGUAGUAAUAUAUGAGCUGAGAUGUGCUAACAGACCGAGGACUUGA